Populus trichocarpa (black cottonwood) is the source of this 126-nucleotide non-coding RNA. NCBI's taxonomy places the organism in Eukaryota, Viridiplantae, Streptophyta, Magnoliopsida, Malpighiales, Salicaceae. The record is from Rfam.
AUCCCAGAUAAUGUUCAUUUUUUGGUGAUUAUCUGAUUCAUGGGAGGCAAAUAACAAAAUGGGAGUUCGCUGAUAGCACCUUUUGAUCUUUGAAAAGGUGUUUUACUAGUACCUCACCAUACAUUU